Molecule: long non-coding RNA, 6110 nt
Filed under: Trifolium pratense (red clover)
Lineage: Eukaryota; Viridiplantae; Streptophyta; Magnoliopsida; Fabales; Fabaceae
Source: RNAcentral
AUGCAGCAUAUCGCCAUUGUUCCCUCUUAUUGUCUCAGUUCAUUUUUAAGUUUUGUUCCUAAUUUUACGGUUUUUAUUUUUUGCAGAUUGAAGCUGAAUGUGUAAGAAUCAAAGAUUACAAACAAAACCCUAGACGGAUUAAUGAGUUGAUGAAGAUAAUCCAGUUGCAGUAAAGUAAAUCAAUGCAUGCUUAUGACUAUUUGUCUAUCAAUUAUCUUAAUUUUGAAAUGUAGGGUUAAAUUUUUCUAAGGUUUGAUUUUUAUAUCUUACAAUGAAAUGCAGUGUCACUAGAUUUUAUACGAUUGAUAUGAUAUUAACAUGUAUGCAUGUGUUACUGCUAAAUUUGUCAAUAAAAUGUUUUGUGAUAUAAUCAUAUAAAACAUAAUUGAAGUAUUGCUCCUAACUUUUUUGUUGUCUCUUCUUAAUUGCUGAAUUUUAUAUGUCUAUUUACCUUCUUUGUUGAAUGUCUUUUUCUUAUGAUUAAGGAAACAACUUAGAUGUAAUUCAAUUUCAGGAGAAACUGCACUACAAAAUAUAUUGACUUACUUUCAAGUUUUUCUUCUUCAGUUUUUUCUUUUCUAAAAUUCCUAAAACAAAAUUCAGCUGAAUAAACUCUGCGAGAUAUUAAGCAACGGAACCAAUACAACACGGAUAAUUAAUAAGCUCUAAGAAAAACUUAAUAAUAAUGGCUGUAGUUUGCUUUACCACUCCUCUCCAUGCUACUUAGUCUUCCAAUUCAUUGCUAUUGGGUUUCUAUCCCAGUAAGAACAAUUUUUUGAGUGUUUCGUGUCAAAUUCCCAUUUGCAUAGGUCAUAGUAUAGUAUCAACAUCUUUUUUCACCCUUUUUCUUGAAUUUUACUCCUUGAGGUGCUACAACCUCCAUUGAUAGAUGGAGUUGGGACUUCCCACAUUUGCUGCUCUCUUGUUGAACAUCUUUCUUCUCAUUCCAUCCUUAAACUUAACUGAGACUAGGACAGUUAAGGCUGAAGCCUCUAUUAAUCUGCGUGAUUUCAUGGCAGCUAACAUCUCUGUUAGCGAAACUGGAUAUCUUCUGACCUUGUAUGACAAUGCUGCAAAGGGGGUUGACAUAAUCAUCUGGCCUAAUAUUGUAUAUCAGUCUAGGGUCCAAUGCACUGUGGAAUCACAGUUCCAGCUCCCAUGGCUAAAGCUUGAUGUGUGGUCAGUCACAUCUUCUUUUGUCAUGAUUUCAGAUUUGACAGCUGUAAGGCUCCAUCUUGCGUGAGCUGAACAGAAAAGAGUUUAAAUUCCCCUGACAUGAGGUCAUGUCAUUGAGGUACCUUACAUGACAGAGAAGUUCACACUUUUAGUGUGUCCUCUGGAAGGCCUAUCGGACCAAGGUUCUGAGACCAUACAGCAAUGAGGUUGAAUCCUGGCGCUAUAAGACCUAGUUUGAGGAUUGAAGGGUUUGUAAAACUUGGCCCUCUGACUGAGAAUCUUGUGUACACUUUGCUAUUACAGUUCCUAAAAAUUCAAUCCGAGCAAGUGGCCUUGUUGUGGAGUUUAUGUAAGAUUUCAAGUCGCCUAAUUCAUCAAAUCCUACCAAUAUUGCAGGCACAUGUACAUCAACCAAAUUUUCUUCCAAGUUUAGCUCUGUGUUUGCCAAGAUCAUAGAAGCACCACCUGUUUCUUCACAACUUGACCCUUUUCUGAUCUUCUGUUAACACCACGAUUGCAUAUUUUUCCUUGAAUUUUGUCCUUUGGACGAGACACUUUGAGGCAAAAGUGCUUCUUCCAAGGUUAGUUAUUGGGAUUCUGCAUAUUUGCUCUGGAUGUAUUAUGCUUAUAAGUUAUAAGGCAUGUGUGUUUUUUAACCGGUUUUUCCCAUAUUUGAGUUUGAUUGGAUUUUAUAUUUGAGUAGGAAGAAUGAGGCAUGCCCAUUAUCUUCUCUGGUAUUUGAUCGCAGAAACCUGGUAUAAGUAAUGAGUUUUUUACUGUGUUCAUUUUUGUUAUUUUUUGUGCCUUCAAAUUUAUGAAAUGUGACUUCGUUUGGAAAUGUCUUAUUUAAUAUUAUUUAAGUGUUUGUUAUUAUACAUUGUUUGUUGAUUUUGCUGGCUUUGCCUAUCCACUUUGAGCUGGAUAUUUAUUUAUUUUUUGAAUGGUUGAGCUGGAUAUUUAUUGUAACUGUCAUUUUGAGACUAGCACUACUGUUUUGCUUCAAUAACUUAGUGUUGGCACUUGGCAUACAUAUCAGGAAACUUGACGACUCUGAAUUUUGAAAUGGAUUUUAUUAGGCAUACAUAUUUUGAAGUAAUAUUUGUCUAUGUUCAACAUUAUUUGUGUACUUCAUUUCCUUAACAUAUCUCUAUGGGUUGUCCAGGUGAAGGAAUAUGAUUGGAAUUAUUCAGCAUCGCCAUUGUUCCCUCUUAAUGUCUGAAUUAAUUUGAAGUUUUGUUGCUGAUUUUAGGGUUUUUAUUUUUGCAGAUUGAAGCUGAAUGUGUAAGUAUCAAACAUUACAAAUAAAACCCUAGACGGAUUAACGAGUAGAUGAAGCUAAUCUAGUUGCAGUAAAGUAAACUAAUGCAUACUUAAGGCUAUUUGUCUGUUGGUUAAUUAUCUUAUUUUUGCAAUAUAGGGUUAAUUUUUUAAACUGUUUGAUUUAAAUAGCUAACAUAAUACUCUGAUUUUGAAUCAUAUAUUAUUAUGUACACAAUUUAUUCAAUGGAAUUAUUCAACUAGUUGAUUUGUAUGUUCUGUUCAUUUUUAUUUAUUUUUUUGUGAUAUGAUCAAAUAAAACAUGACUGUGAAGUUCAAUUUAACCCCUUUUGUUUUUUUUGUCUAUUUACCUUGUCUUUUUUCCUUAUGGUAAAGAAAACAACUGAGAUGUUCUUGUAUAUGAUUUUGGAGAUAAUUGAUUGAUGCAGUUCAAUUUCAUGAGAAACUGCACUGCAAAAAUUUGUGUGUGAAAAUUCUGAUUCAAGAAACAAGUAAAGACCAAUUAUUUAACCUUUAUAAAUGGACUUACUUUUAAUAUUUCCUUCUUAAGUUUUUCCAUUAGAGAUGCUCUAAGACUCCUGAUAGUCUAAUAGAAAAUUCAGCAUAAACUUUAGACAAACUAAUAAUGACAGUAGCCUAUUGUACUAGUAUGUUUCUCCAUGCUACUUAGGCUUCCAAUUCACUGCUAUUGUUGGGCUUCUAUCUAUGUAAGAACCAUUUUGUUAGUUUAUACAUGUCAAAUGCCCUUCUGCAUUGGUCAUGGUAUCCACACACAUCUUGUAAUAGUGUAACUCAUGCUUUGAUUUCUUUGUUUAAAUAGCAGCUUCUUGUGUUUCAUUUUGACUUUUACUCCACGAGGUGCCGCAAACAACGUCCACUGAGUAGAUGGAGUUAGGACCUCCCAAAUUUGCUACCCUCCUGCUGAACAUCUUUCGCCUCAUUACAUCCACCGAGAUUGAGGGAUAGUUAAGGCUGAACAAUCCUCUAUUCAUCUGCAUGAUUUCAUGACAUCUAACAUUGCUUUGCGUGAUACUGAAUAUUUUUGAUCUUGUAGAAUCAAUGUCGCAAAGGUGGUUGACAUAUUCAUCUGGCCUAAUAUCAUAUAUCAGUCAUGGAAUCAAUGCUGCUAUUUGUGGAUUAACAUUUCCAUCUCCCUUGACAAAAGCUCCAGCUGAUUUGUCUUCGUCAAGUACUGGUCUUCCUGUGUAUCAGUUACAUCUUCCAUCUUGGUUGAGCUGAACGGAUACGAGCUGCAAUUGCACUAACAUGAGGCGUGGAUGACAUGUCAUUGAGGUACCUGACAUGACAGAGACGUUCAUUCUUCUGAUGUUCUCUGGAAGCCCUAUCGGACAAAGGUUCUGAGGCCAUGCAGCAAAUAAUCUCGACUCUUGGAGAUAUAACAUCUCAGUUUAAGGAUUGAAGGGUUUGUAAAACUUGGCCUUCUGGCUGAGAAUCGUGUAAAUGCUGGUGCUCUAGAUCUAGACUUUCAUAUUACAGCUCCUCCAAAUUCAAUAUCAGCAAGUAGCCUUGUUGUGGAUUUUAUGUAAGAUUUCAAGGUGAGUGAUUCAUCAAGUCAUACCAAUGUUGCAGGCAAGACAAUAACAUCAACCGAAUCUUCUUCCAAGUUUAGUUGUGUUUGGCAAGAUCAUAGCAGCACAACCUGUGAUAGAACACCUAGGCAUAUCUAGAAGGAAGUGGGACCCUGGGGAGAGAGUGAGAGUUAGUUAGAGGUGUUGGGGUAUUUUUCCUUGCGAUUCUGUUAGAGAAUGUUAUUAAAAACAGGGUAGUGGUGAGUAUGGGAAUCAUUCAGAGAUAUUGUUAGAAUUGAUUAGGAGAGUUUUCUCUCUGGUUAGGAAUCUUUGACUCUGGUUAUCAUUUUCCUUCAUUGUAGAGCCUUUGAGCUCAUCUUUAUUACUUUAAUAAUACAAUUUCCUUAUUCAUAAUUUGCGAGUUCUAUCAACCUGCUUUCUUCACAACUUGAGUACAUAACCUUUUUAUGAUCUUCCAUUGACACCCCAAUCGCAUACAUACCACCUGCUUGUAAUUUUCAUAUUUUCUUGGUAGUUCAUGUGCUAAAUUUUGAUGUUCUAAUAAAAUUGUUUAACUUAUCAGAAAAAAGUUAUUUGCUAUUGCUUGAUAGUCUGUUCAAUAGGUAAAUGAAUUCUCCAUUGAGAACUUGUCCAUUACCCAAGUGACCUAUAGCUCAGAAUUUCAUGUCAAGUAUGCUCACCAAUGGUGGCUAUCUAAGGAGCUUCACUGGCAACCAACAUGAUAUUGCCAUUGAGCCAUUGUUUCUGGACAGCAAUACUAUCAUCAUAUAGUGGCAGCGGGUACUGUCAGAUGCCACCAGUAUUGCAUCAGUAGAGAUGCUUCAUCCCCGCUGCUAGAAACAGAAGAUUACAACCUUGACUAAGAAAUUGGGUGAAUGUUCUAAACAUAAGAAACUCACUGUUAUGUGGGAAUGAGAAUUAUGAAUAUGAUCAAACCUAGGCCAUUAGUUGAUCAAGUGCAUCAUUGCAUACAAUUUCUACCGCUGACCAUCCAAGUAGACAGGGCGUGCCGAAUUUGAUAUGUGUGGGGUGCAUGUUCAAACAUGUGAUUUUCGACACUUAAUGUGUGUGAUUCUCGUCACUAGAUUAUUUGAAAAAAAUAAUCACAUUAUAAUGUUAGUUUUUGAAAUAUCUGCAUAUUCAUAAGAAAAAACUUCAUAAAAUUAAUUGCAAUUGGAACAUAUAGAUGGACUUUUCGCUUACAAGAGUUUUUACUUGUGUAGUUGUGUUCUAGUUACCAUUGUCUCAAAAAGUUAAAUGUGAAAUGAUAAUAGUAUGUAUGAAACAACUUAAAUCCAUAACAUAAACUGGAGAGAUACUGUUUAAUGAAAAUUGUGAAACAGUGGGAGUAUCUUUGGCACUGAUGGUAUGUUUGGAACGGUGAAGAUCUAGUGAUUUUUUUUGUAUCAGUUUAACUCUACAGUUUAAUCACAAUCAUAGCAGUGGAAGGUAAGAGCCAAGAGAUGUACUCCCACAUCGCUUACAUAGUCCCACAUCGCUUACAUGCAUGAUGUUUGCAGUGUUUAUAUAACACUUCAACACAACAUGAUUUGUCCCUUCGGGGACAUCCGAUAAAAUUGGAACGAUACAGAGAAGAUUAGCAUGGCCCCUGCGCAAGGAUGACACGCACAAAUCGAGAAAUGGUCCAAAUUUUUUUGUCACUUUUUUUUUUUGAAAUUUCUCGAUUUUCUCUCUUCUUCAAUUGCGUUUUCAUUUUUUGAAGAAUCCUAUGCAGCAUAUCGCCAUUGUUCCCUCUUAUUGUCUCAGUUCAUUUUUAAGUUUUGUUCCUAAUUUUACGGUUUUUAUUUUUUGCAGAUUGAAGCUGAAUUGGUAAAAAUCAAAGAUUGCAGACAAAAUCCUAGAUGGAUUAACGAGUAAGAAAACCCUAGAUGAAGAUAAUCUAGUUGCAGUAAAGUAAAUCAAUGCAUGCUUAUGACUAUUUGUCUAUCAAUUAUCUUAAAAUGUAGGGUUAAUUUUUUCUAAAGUAAAGUGUCGGUUCUUCAAUCCUAGGAAAUUUAAGUCAAUUAUCUUAAUUUUGAAAUGUAGGGUUAAUUUUUUCUAAGGUUUGAUAUGAUAUUAACAUGUAUGCAUGUGUUACUGCUAAAU